UACGGAGGGUGCGAGCGUUGUCCGGAAUCACUGGGCGUAAAGGGCGCGUAGGCGGCGCGGGUAGUCAUCGGUGAAAGUUCAGGGCUCAACUCUGAAUCGGCCGGUGAUACUCCCGUGCUCGAGCACUGUAGAGGCAGGUGGAAUUCCGGGUGUAGCGGUGGAAUGCGUAGAGAUCCCCAAGAACACCAGUUGCGAAGGCGGCCGACUGGACACAUAUUGACGCUGAGGCUCGAAAGCAUGGGGAGCAAACAGG
Molecule: ribosomal RNA, 253 nt
Filed under: uncultured bacterium
Lineage: Bacteria
Description: partial 16S ribosomal RNA
Rfam family: Bacterial small subunit ribosomal RNA
Source: RNAcentral